GCCGGGUGUGGUGGCUCACACCUGUAAUCCCAGUGGCUUGGGAGGCUGAGGCAGGAGAAUCAUAAAUUCAAAGCCAGCCUCAG
RNAcentral lists this small RNA (83 nucleotides) under Marmota monax (woodchuck). The record is from RNAcentral. Lineage: Eukaryota; Metazoa; Chordata; Mammalia; Rodentia; Sciuridae.